GUCAUCGGAUCCUCCGCGCUUGGUCUUCUGGUAUCAUAUUUAUUUAACCUCCUGGGAGAGCAUGAACGGGGACGGCCUCUCCCUGUUGGAAGGAGCAGACGCAUUACACGGUACCCCAGAUACAGAAUCAUUCUCAGACCCUGAGCCUGGCAACCCUAAUCCCAACACUUCCAACGGUUUAUCCAUAGUGGAUCCUCUGGAUUGUUCUAUGAAGUUAGCAUGAGACCAGUAGCCAGCCAGAUGCCUCUUCUGGGAAAUCUGCAAGCAGGACCGGAAUGGAACAACACUCU
Rhineura floridana is the source of this 290-nucleotide long non-coding RNA. RefSeq lists it as uncharacterized. The transcript has 3 exons. Lineage: Eukaryota; Metazoa; Chordata; Lepidosauria; Squamata; Rhineuridae. The record is from RefSeq and is a predicted model, not a curated record.